ACGGGUGAGUAACACGUGACUAACCUGCCUUCUAGUGCGGGACGCCUUUGUUAACCGGGGCUAAUACCGCAUAACAUCUCUGAAAACAGAGGAGCGCUGGAAGAGGGGGUCGCGGCUGAUUAGCUAGUUGGCGGGGUAACGGCCCACCAAGGCGAUGAUCGGUAGCCGGCCUGAGAGGGCGCACGGCCACACUGGAACUGAAACGGUCCAGACUCCUACGGGAGGCAGCAGUGGGGAAUUUUGCGCAAUGGGGGAAACCCUGACGCAGCAACGCCGCGUGGAGGAUGAAGCCCCUUGGGGCGUAAACUCCUUUCGACCGGGACGAUUGACGGUACCGGUGGAAGAAGCACCGGCUAACUCUGUGCCAGCAGCCGCGGUAAUACAGAGGGUGCAAGCGUUGUUCGGAAUUAUUGGGCGUAAAGGGCGCGUAGGCGGCGCGGUAAGUCACCUGUGAAACCUCCGGGCUUAACUCGGAGCCUGCAGGCGAAAC
This 490-nucleotide ribosomal RNA is filed under the name uncultured soil bacterium. RNAcentral describes it as "bacterial SSU rRNA". It matches the Rfam family "Bacterial small subunit ribosomal RNA", at positions 102 to 633 of the family's 1533-position model. The record is from RNAcentral.